ACACACACACACACACACACACACACAGGACAACUACGAUCAGGUACACACACACACACACACACAGGACAACUACGAUCAGGUACACACACACACACACAGGACAACUACGAUCAGGUACACACACACACACACACACACACACAGGACAACUACGAUCAGGUACACACACACACACACAGGACAACUACGAUCAGGUACACACACACACACACAGGACAACUACGAUCAGGUACACACACACACACA
Long non-coding RNA from Oncorhynchus keta (chum salmon), 249 nucleotides. RefSeq lists it as uncharacterized. The transcript is spliced from 3 exons. Lineage: Eukaryota; Metazoa; Chordata; Actinopteri; Salmoniformes; Salmonidae. The record is from RefSeq and is a predicted model, not a curated record.